CUCUUCCACCCCUGUCGUCUAAGUCAGGGUCUCUCUUUGGACUGAACUUGGCCCUGCAGGCCAGGUGGAUGGCCCAAGCUCCCAGGGCUCUGCCUGGCUCUGCUUCCUCUCUUGCCAUCACAGGGCUCAUAAGCCCACACAGAGCCAAGCUCUUCUACCAGUCAGGUUUUCUCAUGGCUGCCUGAUCCUUGACUCUGGGAACACCUGGUUUCCCAAGGUGGCAGCCUCCUGUUCCUCCUCUACCCUUCCCUCUCUGCAGUACCGCAUCCACUCAGUUGCUGAACAAGAGACAUCUGAGUCAUCCUUUUCCAUUCUCUCCUCCUCCCGUGCCACCAACUGGCCGCCAGACCUUAGUGCUUUUACCACCCCCAUAUUUCAAAACUGGCCGCUGCCGCUGCUCCUCACCCUGCCUCCCUGUUCUCAGCCUGCAACUCUCCCACGCCUCCUCGCUGCACGUAUGAAGAAAUCCGAGCGCCUCUGUCCAGGGAAGACUGGAUGGUAUCUUUCCUUCCUCCUCUGAAACACAGGACUAUGUUCCAGGGCUGUUCCCUCGGCUGACUCCAGGUCAUAGGGAGGCGUGGGGACAACCCAUUUUCUUCCCAGGUGAUUCCUCUCUAGUGCCCAGAGAGGGUGGUGCUGAGGUAGGUGGGAGACUCCACCCUGAAGCCUGGGAACCCGCCUUCUCACAAGUGGGCGACACCCAGGCAUUAACCCUGGUUUCUGCUUGCAGAGGCGCAGUAUCUCCCAGGCACAUGCCACACCAGGAGCACAAGGGCAGCACACCAUGCUGACAAACCAGAAUUUUAGUUCAAAUGAAAAGAAGAUGGCUUCAACCGCUUCUCUGAAACGCAGGGCCGAUCGGAAGACACCGCAAGUCCUCUUUAGCGCUUGAGUGGGCCCUCAAGCCCCUUUGCCACAUUUCCUGUCCCAGUAUUUCACUGCUAAGUGGUCAGCAGCAGCAAUAAACAGAACGGGUGAUUGUU
Molecule: long non-coding RNA, 983 nt
Organism: Peromyscus leucopus (white-footed mouse)
Lineage: Eukaryota; Metazoa; Chordata; Mammalia; Rodentia; Cricetidae
Exons: 2
Source: RefSeq, a predicted model, not a curated record